This is a long non-coding RNA of Sebastes umbrosus (honeycomb rockfish), 1350 nucleotides long. RefSeq lists it as uncharacterized. The record is from RefSeq and is a predicted model, not a curated record. Lineage: Eukaryota; Metazoa; Chordata; Actinopteri; Perciformes; Sebastidae. The transcript is spliced from 2 exons.
UCGUAUAAUUCUGACUUUAUUCUCGUAAUAUUACGACUUUUUUUUUCUUGAAAUAGUACGACUUUAAUCUCAUUAAAUUGCGACUUUUUUUUCUCGUAAUAUUAUGACUUUAUUCUCGAAAUCUGUGGCCCUAACACCCCGUUGUACUACGGAGUGUGUCCACACCGGAAAAAGCAAUCAAACAGAAGAGUCGGCGUGCGCAUUGAAACCUCUGGAUUAGUGAGUGAGCUGCUGAAGCUCCGAGGAGACGGAGCCGCUGUUAGACCCAGAAACCGUCCAGAGGAAGAAGUGAGGUCACUGAAACAGCUCCAGGAACACUUCACAAAACUCUCUCACUUAAAUUGACUUCGGAUAAUGUCCUAAAAAGGACAAAAUUGAUUUCUUGUAUACUAAAAAAAAAUUUUAAAAAAUGGUGUACUAUAAAGACAAGUACACAGUAUAUACUGUAUGUAGAAUGGAACUAGCUGGACCGUCAGCGACUCAACAUAGUGCAUGCUGGGAUAGGCAGCAGCCCCCAGCCUCCCUCCAGAGGAUCAAAGGGUUACAUGAUGGAUGGACUGCAGUUCAAAAUCUGUUUGUAUAUGUCACAUGUACAUGUGAUCAAGGCUGAUAGCAGGUCUGCUCAGAUCCACUCAGGCAAUACAACACAAUUCACUGGAUAUAAUGCGGCCCCAGGUCAGGUACCGGUCCCAGGUCGGGGUCAGAGUACUGGACCUGUGAAGACCUCUACUGCGUGUUCUCCUGUUGAUGGGCAGCUGGAGUGAAGCUGUUACAACAAACAAUGAGACUUUGACGGAGGUAACCGGGCGCGUUGGCUUGGCGGCAGCUGCUCGGCGUGCAGGUGUGCGUGUUCGUGCUCGGCGUCUCUCAAAAGAGCAUUUUGACUGCAAAAAAAACGAGACAAUUCAAGAGCUCCUCCGUGAGGAACCCGUUCUCCACUGCCAUCCUGCUGAGGUCUGAUCUCUGCAGGUUAAACACAUGUUAGCAGGCUAAUCAGCAUCAGCCUGCUAACAUACAGACCUGGUGCUCUGGGUCACAGGGUCGUCCCCCCCCCCCCCCCCCCCCCCCCCCACACUCAUCCUCCCCCUCUACACCAACACACAUAUGAAGCCCUUACUGAUGCAGUCAGAUCUAUUCCCUCAACUAGGAGGGCUGACUCUGAAUCAGUAUUCUGAUUCAACACAGGCCCCCAAGAAAGUAUUUCUCUGCCUUUUGUGAUCUGAAUAUUUAAAGACGUACCCAUCAUGUUGGUCCUCAGUACCUGGACCUGGGAAACAGGAAGAGCCCCCCCCCCCUCCCAGUUUACCCUGCUGACAGAUUACAGUAUGUGGAUUAAACAAACUGUUUAAU